UUUGGUUUCGACGGGGGUUGGUUCGGGUAGGAAUAGCGAGCCGGGAUUCCACUAGCCCGUAAAAACGGUGGGCCUUAAAUUAAACGCAAACGAAAAUUACGCUUUAGCUGCUUAGUUCAGCUAACGUCUAACCCUCGGAGCCUACGCUGAGGGAUUAGGCGCCGACUAGUAGGCUACCGCAGUCAAUGCCGUUUGAGUUGGCUGUGGGAAAUUUAGCAAACUAGUCUUAUCAUUAUCCUGCCUCUGGGAGAAUGGUAAGGCGAAUUUUAAAACAGAGGCUGCGCUCGGAGAAGUUCUUACUGGAACACCUUCGGACAGGGGUUCGAUUCA
RNAcentral lists this transfer-messenger RNA (330 nucleotides) under Clostridia bacterium. It matches the Rfam family "transfer-messenger RNA". Rfam says of the family: Bacterial tmRNA, also known as 10Sa RNA or SsrA, is named for its dual tRNA and mRNA-like properties. Lineage: Bacteria; Bacillati; Bacillota; Clostridia. The record is from RNAcentral.